RNAcentral lists this unclassified non-coding RNA (8001 nucleotides) under Mizuhopecten yessoensis (Yesso scallop). RNAcentral's name for it is "uncharacterized LOC110449695, transcript variant X5". The record is from RNAcentral. Lineage: Eukaryota; Metazoa; Mollusca; Bivalvia; Pectinida; Pectinidae.
UGGAUAACAAGUAGCAUGUUUGUGUGUGUGUCUGCCUGGAGGGAGCUAACUGACCCAGGGUCAACACUGAGAUCUACAGACUGCAUAGUCCUACUGUGCGCAUGUCCUACAGGAAUUGCAUCACUGAGCUUUAAAAAACAUCAAGAUAGCUGUUGGAUGCUUGCAAGCUGUCCUGACACCAAAUUAUGCACAGUGUGUAGUUUCACCUAUUCCAGGAAGGACCGGAUACAGGCACUGUCGUUGGAAUAUCAGCACAAAGGUUACGCCAAGUGUCUAUACACCAUACAAGCACCCUCCAACACUUACAUAGAACUCAAUUUCACCGAUCUCAUUGGCUUCCAGCCUCAUUUUGGUCCUGCAAGCUCAACGGACCCUAAUUUUCAUUUACCCAAUUCUCAAUCAUCAGCAUCAACGUUGUUGUCGUCCUCGUCACCGCUGUCAUCGUCAUCAUCAUUACCUGUGUCUGCUAAAGCAGAACAUUGCUUGCCACCCGAGCUUGUUAUAAGUCUGUUUACAGAAGGCCAUAGGAGCCACUCGAAAACUUUUAGGUUUUGUAAAACGAACAAUUUCAAAACGCCUCGAGUCUUUCAUUUCAAUGUCAACUCCCUGCAGAUAGUUUAUAUAUGGGAGGAGAAUGUACACAGUGGAUUUUCACUGGAUAUAGACUUCCAUCAACGCAACAAUAAAUGUGUGUUUUACUGCACUGAUCUGACAUGUUUGACGUCGGAGAAACUUCUUUGUGACAAAGUCUACAACUGUGCAGACGGGUCCGAUGAGUCCAACUGUCCAAGUCUACCCCUUCAAUCUGACGGUGCUUACCAAUCUCUAACUACAGUAGUUGUGAUCGUGCUGUUUGUAGUGUUAAUGCCGGUGCUGGCCGUGUUUAUAUGCGUUGUGAGCCCCUGCAGAUCUACGUCUCGUAUGUGGCGUCGCUGGAGGACCCGAGACCGAGGUGUGGACCAUCGUCAGUUACGGCCAGACUCUCAAGGAUCAGAGGUUGUAUUCAUCCCCCCUACCACAUCGUCCCCUAGUUCUACAACCACGCCGGCCCACCUAGAGCAGCAAAUUGCCCUGAUGAGGGAGCGCCACACACUUUUACAGUCGGCGCGCACUGGCAUGGAGAUAGGCAUGCCCUCCUCGGUACACAUCUCCCAGGAUGGCGAGGAGGGGUAUGCCGAGAGCCAGAAACAGCUGGCCCAUCACUCAAAACAGGAGAUCUACCAGCCCUGCUUUAGACCUCCGCCUAACAAGACAGUAUACGACAAGGAUAGUCCCCCGCCGUACUACGCUGUGAAGGGCCUCGGCCCAUCCUCCCAGGGGGUAUCCCCCGGGGCACUGGUACAACACUCAAAUGGCUGCUCCAUGAUGGUGCAGUGUUUUAAUUUGUCAAAUAACAAUGAGCAGCACAGUGAUGGCUGCCUGCGACAGCCCAAUCAGUGUAGGACUAGUGGCCGUGGUGGUGUGUCUCCUAAUGUCGGCAGUGCCCCACGUGUACAUGUCGCGCACGAUAGUGCAAUAGACCUUGGACGGCAUAGUGCGUCUGGGCUUGACCGACCGCCAGACUACAGUGCGGUGCUAGCAUCUAGGACAAGUGUGUGUAGUAACAAUAAUAAAUCCCCUGCGGGCGGACAUGUCUGAUAGCGACCAUGCUGGCGACAUCUAGAGGAGGGAGGCGCGGUCAAGGUUAUGGAUGUAGGUCAAAGGUCAUAUGGAUAAAGCCAGCUGUGAUACAGAUUUUGGGGAAGUGAAUUACAACAUCAUCUAAUUAAUGCUUUUACUUUGUAUUGUGAGAUAAAAAAAAUGACAAAAAUACACAAAAAAAAAAUAAAAACCAAAAACUGAUUGAUUCCUCUGUGAGAGCUACACAAUACCAAGGCCACUGAUUUGUAUUGUAAAGAAAUUGUGUCCCUCAUUUUACGAGGGAAAACAUUUGUGCAGACUACGUUUUAAACCCCUCCCCCCCACAUUUAUGGAGAAUAUCUUUGUGCUCAAGGUACAACAGUUGUUAUAGUAAGUCAUCAGAUGGGUAGGCACCCUAGGUGCUGCAUAUUUCCAUUUUCUGUUGUACAACCUGAUCGUCCGGCUACACGCACAGCGAGCGUCGAGGUGUGACGUGUAUGUACAGUCGCGCUAGUGAUCCUAUAUAGGUAAACCCAGUCUGUCAAACAGCCUUACUUCUAUAUAAACAUCAGUGUAUGUCUGUCUGCCUGUCCAUCAGUGGAGGACCAUGUCUCCCACGCUCAAGCGACCCUGCGAUCAAGGUCACUCCGGGUGGACUAUGUGCUUGUAUCUGGAGUGUCAGGGAGUUCAACACUUGUGUAAAGUGUUUGUACUCGAUCCAGAGUCUAAGCUGGCUAAAUAUCAUCCUCAUGCUUGUGUUGUUUUUAAGAAGAAGCUUUUUUUGUCCAAUUUUACAGCUAUGAUGGUGAUCUUGUUGACUUAGUGUGGAGAAUGAGGUUAGUGGUUACUGUAGUACUGCUCUGCCUAGUGUGGAGAAUGAGGUUGGUGGCCACUGCAGUACUGCUCUGCCCAGAGUGGAGAAUGAGGUUGGUGGCUACUGCAGUACUGCUCUGCCUAGUGUGGAGAAUGAGGGUGGUGGCCACUGCAGAACUGCUCUGCCCAGUGUGGAGAAUGAGGGUGGUGGCCACUGCAGUACUGCUCUGCCCAGUGUGGAGAAUGAGCUACUUCAACAGAUUACUGCGGUGAAGAAUAUGAUCAAUUAAUACUCUAAAACCUAAUUACAGAUUUCUUUUUAUCAAUUGUCAUUUCAAGUCUGUCUGAAUAUAGCUAUAUUUAGUAAGUUAUCAAAACAAAAUUGUGUUUUCUGGUCAUUACUUGAACAUUAAUUUACAUGAAAAGCUACAAAUAUUUCGGUGAGAAAAAAUGGAUUGAAAUAAUAUCAGCACAAGUUUUUAUAUUGUUUGAAGUUUAUCAGCAUCCCAGUUAUAGACAGGUAACAAACCUAUUGUUAGACAGUUGUCGGUCAAUUUUCCUAUGAAUUUUACUAAAGUAAAUACAUAGAGCUUUAUUAUUAUACUUAAAACUACAGCAAAUAACAUUCCUGGCACAGAAGUACAGAGAAGAAAAGAAAUGGCCGAUUUGUCAUGGUACAUUGGGUACUCUGGUCCUGUCAAAUGUCGGUUUAGGAAGACCUCUGGAACUGUUUGGAAACUGUGAAAUCAGAUAUUUUCAUGAGGCUCAAAUUUCGUGGUUUCCUGAAAAAACACUAUUCCGUGGGUACAUGAAUUUGUGGAUCACGAGUACCCACUAACACAGAGAAUGGCUUAAUGUCAGACUGUGUAGACCUUUGAAUUCGUGGAUGAAAAUUACUCCAGAAUCAAUGAAAUUAUGAACCCCACAAAGACUAGUGAUUUCACAGUAUGUUCAAUGAUAAACUCUAUCAUAGUCACCUGGACUAAUUUUAUUGUAUUCUUGACAAUCACAUGUAUUUCAAAACGGUUUGUAUCAAGUUGUAUGUACACAGUAUGUGGAAGCUAAUUCACAGGAAAAACAGUGGUUUGUAAAACCCAGUGUCAUAAGUGUGCGGAUAACAGUAGUUUAUAAAAGUGUGGUGUCUUUGGUGUGUGGAUAACAAAGAUAGUUGAACUCAUUCACCGCUGAAGACGCAUUUGAACUCUUCCAAUCCAUAGGUCGGAAUAGUUCAUUAUGAAAUAUCAGGGGUGAAUGAGUUAAUGGGACAUAUGAAUACACACACAUUCUGUACAGUCACUAGAAAUCUACAACGUUCAUCCCUAUGUUCCUACUUGCACUCCACUCUCCCUUUGAAGUGAAUCAGUCUAAGUGUGGGACGAGGGUGGAGAGGUCAAGACCAGGCCAAUCGCCUCACCAUUUUUGUAUAACAUGUGAACCAUUAGAGGCAGACUUCUAGACAUUGUUUCUGGAUAUAAAUUAUUGAUGUCACAGAUAAAAAUAAAGUCUGACUAAUAUUUUAUUUUUUUUUAAGCCAGGGAAAGAAAGUUUUAUGGGUUCUUGUUUUCUUGUUGAAAUUGGUAGUACAUUUUUGUUGUUAAUAAAGGUAUCUGUAUAAAGUUUUCAAACGGUCUACAAUAAACUGAAAAAAUAGACUGGAAGUCUGCUCGAAUGUUCACCAUUUUGAAAAGCCUUGGUAAAGGGUGGGCUCGAGGUGUAGAAUUGGUCACAUACCUGUAACAGUGGAGGUAAGGGUGGGCUCGAGGUGUAGAAUUGGUCACAUACCUGUAACAGUGGAGGUUCAGUAUGAGCAAAUUACAAUGAAUUGAAAGCAGUUAAAACUAUAAUUUAUUACACUGUCAAUAAGGGUGUUCCAAGGUUGUAAGGUACGGUUUGUUUUGAACAGAAAACAUUCAUAUAAAAUGGACUUGAAGCAUGAAUGUUUUAGUCUCCCUUUGUAUACACAGGUUGAUUUGGUAUUGCAGAGCUUCCUUUGUUUAUUAUUCACAUUGAAUGCAGCAACUGAGAUAGACCCUUACUCAAGUGUUCAUGUAUAAAAGGCCCAAACUCCUUAAAACAGUUUAGUUUUCACAAAGUAAAUUUUUGUCAUAGUGCAUUUAUCAUUGAUUGACAAUUUUAUCCACAAACAAUAUUAUAAAAAAAAUCUUUUGUACUCAAAAAUGAAAUGAAGAAAUAGAUACGUAUUUUUCCAAGCUUAGGUUUUUCACCGGAUUACUUUACGAGAAGUGAAAAAGACAUAAUUUUGAAAAACCAAAUUUUACUGGAAUUCGCAUCAAGUGCAUUACCUGAAUAUUGCAUUAUGGCACAAACUUCAUUUCGUGAAAACUUGUUCAUGCUUCUGUAUUAUAUUAAAAAGAAAGUUGAAUUUCAAUAUGGACAGCCUAAGCCAUCCAGUAUAAAAAAUUUCAAGUUGCUUAAAGUGACUUUGUUAUGUUGAAACUGUGUGUUACAAAUUGUACUAAAGUUUCUUUUGUAUGGAGAAAAAUGUAUCUUCAGUUUAAAUGAAGGACAUGUUGCUUAUGUUUUACUGUACAAUAUAUAUAUAUGGAAGAAGGGAGAUAAUUCCCAUAUUUUUCUGAUAGAAAAAAAAGUAUGUUUAAUUUAUUUCUCUGUUGUAUUUUUUCAUUUUUUUUUUUGUUUUUACUUACGAAGUAACACUGAUAUGUUUUGCAUUUUCAUUUGAAAGUAUUCAUCAAGAUGUUUUAAAUUAAAAAUAUAACUUGCUCUUGUUAGUUGUAACUGGCUGCUUUUAGCAGCAAAAGUUGUCUGAUAAGAAUGGAUGGUUGAAAACAACAAUUCUCAAUGCACAGCCCAAAUGUGUUUUACAAGUGUGUAAAGAAUUGCUUGUUAAAUUUGUUACAAAGUAUUGUUAUUUCAAUCUAAUGCCCCUACAUGUUAUAUAACUGUAGUGUUUUGUUUAUGUCGAGAUUAGGUUUUGAAAUGGACUCUCUCAAUCAUUAGACAUUACCUUCAUUUCCAUUUGACUUCCAAAAAUAUUUCUCAUGAAAACGAACAACACACCCAAUUAAAUGAUUGAUUUGAUAUUUAAUACAAAUAAAUGUAAUUGGACAUUUAAACAAAUUUACAGUCAUAUUAUUGUUAAAAAAGAAAGAAAAAUAUUUUGUUUGAAAAUAGAUAAAGGAUAUUUAGGGUUUUUAUUCUUUCUCUUGUAGAAAUAUGGCCACACUUCACCUUCAAGUAAAUACAUGUACAUUUGUAUCUAACAUAAGGAAUGACCAAGUGUUGUGUUCACAAGCCUAUCAUCCCUAUUGCUGAUGUAUUCACCCCCAGGGAAAUGUCCUUUUAUCAACUUAGUGGUGUAGGCAGUUAUUGCUAACUUUUAAUAAUAUUAUAAGAGUAAUCUUUAUUAGAAAUAAUUGUACUUGAUUUGUUACAACCAAUAUGAUUGUGUUUUAGUCACGACAGUCAAAGUUAAACCCUUUCAUAAAUGUAGACCAUAAUGAACUUGUCCAUAUCAAUGCACAGUAGAGUCGACUCAGGUUACCUAGGUACGAACAGAUUACUUACAUGUACAACCAGGAACAGAGGUUUGUUGUCUAGAACACUUUUAAUUGCAUUUAAUUGUUUUAAACAGAUUUUACAACCUGGUUUGUGAAUAUCUUUUAUGGAAAUUGAGAUAAGUAAUUUUUCACCGACUACUCGGUCGAUGUAACGAAGGUAAUGUCCAAUGAUACGUGUGAUGUUUAAUGUUGAUAUUUUUACAAACGAAAGUAAAAAAGUUAACAAUUUCUGAUUAUCGUUUAUCCUUUCAUGAUCCUUCACGGAUUACGAGUGACCUUUCAAGGUCAACGGUCAGUGAUGGUUCGGCCACUAAAUCUGCUAUGUGCCAUAUGUUUUGACUGGUUUGUUCAGUGAUGGUGGAUCCACGUUAAAUGUAAGCUGCUGCCUUCCAGUAAUACACAGUUACAUCCCAAACUGUAGAAAAUUUUAGUAAAUAUUUUCAUCAAAAACUUGAAAAUAAUUGACAAGUCAAAUUUAAAAAUAAUACCAAUAGCAUAAUGAUUGUCUUUAAGGGCUGUUUCAGUUAUAAUUUUUACGUAGGAAAUCUAUAAUGCUCCCAUGUUUUGAAAGAAAUUGUUUUUUGGGGAGCUGCUGCAAUUUUUGUUCCCAUUUGAUUGCCCCGAUCGCGGCACUAGCUGAGAGGAAUCCUUGAUUGCCCCGAUCGUGCUGCCCUAGCCGAGAGGAAUCCUUGAUUGCCACGAUCGUGCUGCCCUAGCCGAGAGGAAUCCUUGAUUGCCCCGAUCGCGCUGCCCUAGCCGAGAGGAAUCCUCAAUAUAUAUAUCUAUCUGUUACUUGCCACCAAUCUUGAUCAGGCCAGUCAUUCUCCCACUUUCCAUCUUGCUUUUGAACACUUUGGGUGCAUAUCAUUUUUUCUCACUGCAUGCUUAAUGUGUGGGAGAGAGCGGUCACUGACCAAUAUAUUACACAGGCUCGGUCACUGCAGACAGAUUGUGUGGUGUAGAGCGGUCACUGUGACCUACACUCGGUCACUUCAGACAGAUUGUGUGGGGCAUAGAGCGGUCACUGUGACCUACACUCUGUCACUUCAGACAGAUUGUGUGUGGCAUAGAGCGGUCACUGUGAUCUACACUUGGUCACUUCAGACAGAUUGUGUGUGGCAUAGAGCGGUCACUGUGACCUACACUUGGUCACUUCAGACAGAUUGUGUGUGGCAUAGAGCAGUCACUGUGACCUACACCUGGUCUGCCACUACUGUGUUUGGUAGAAUGGGGUGGAGGUGGCCUGUAUGUUACACUAGCUCUGUCACACUAUACAGCUUGUGUGGGAGGAGUGCGAUCACUGUGACCUGUUAACUACAAUCACUCGGUCAGUACAGACAGAUUGUGUGUCAUAGAGAGGGGUCACUGUGGCCUGUUUAUUACACUUGCUUGGUCACUUCAGACAGCUUGUGUGUGUAUGUGCAUGUAAGAGGAGAGAGAGAGAAAUUCAAAACUAAAAAAAAUUAUUGUGCGAGUUGAGUGUGGAGCAAGUGGGAUGCUGUUUAAGACUUUGAACAGCCUGGGUGAGUGACAUUGUGUCCAGUAGCUGUAACAGCCUCGAUGUAAGGGAAUGUAUUCAGCAGAUGUAACAGCCUGGAUGUGUGGGAAUGUGUCCGGUAGCUGUAACAGCCGGGAUGCAAGGGAAUGUGCCCAGUAGAUGUAACAGCCUGGCUGUAAGGAAUGUAUGUCCAGUGGCUGUAACAGCCUGGAUGUAAGGGAAUGUGUCCUGUAGCUGUAACAGCCUGGAUGUAAGGGAAUGUGUCCGGUAGCUGUAACAGCCUGGAUGUGAGGGAAUGUGUGUCCGGUAGCUGUAACAGCCUGGAUGUAAGGGAAUGUGUCCGGUAGCUGUAACAGCCUGGGUGUGAGCCAAUGUGCCCAGAAGCUUAGAGGAGCUGGUCUGUAUGAGAAUAAGUGUCAUCACAUGAUGAAUGGUCUCUCCUUGUGUAUCUACAUAUAAACUAUUUUUAUUUAUAAUUAAUGGCAAGCAGAGACAGAGCCCUCUGCUGAAGAUUAAAAUAUAAGUAACUUA